UUUUUGCCGAAUUCCUUUUUAUUAAUUUAAUUUUUUUUUUUAUUUUAUUUUUAAUAAAUAUACUAAUUUUAUCAUUAUUACUAAUUUUUUUUAAUUAAAAAUUAUUUUUUUUAUAAAAAAUUAAAUAAUUUAAUUUUAAAUUUUAAAAUAAAUGAAAUUAUUUAUAAAAAACUAUAAUUUAUAAAAAAUAUAAAUUUUAAAAAUUUCAAAUAUUUUUAAAAAAUUAUUAUAAAAUUUUAAUUUAAAGCUUAUCCCCUAAAAUAUUAAAUUAAAAUUUUUCCUAAUUAAAUAAAUCAAAAAAAAAAUUAAAUUUUAAUUUAAAAUUUAAUUUUUUUCUAAAAAAACUAGAUAUUUUUAAAAACGAUUAACAUUUCAUUUCUAAUUAAUUAUUAAAAAUAAUUAUGCAACAUUAACUUUAUUAAUUAAUUAACUCUUUUAAAUUCGAGAUAUUUUUAAACUAAAAAUUUUAUUUAAUAAACUCUGAUACACAAGAUACAAUAAAUUAAAUUUACUUUAUUAAAAAUUAUUUUUCAUUAUUUUUCAAAAUUCUUUUACAAUACUAAUUCUUUAUAAAUAUAAAAAUUUUUUCUAUCUAAAAUACUUUAACCCCCAUUAAAUAUUUUUUGUUUUUAAAAAUUUUUUUUUUAUUUAUAUUUUAUUAAUUUACCCCCUA
RNAcentral lists this ribosomal RNA (673 nucleotides) under Euchloe ausonides (creamy marblewing). Its description in RNAcentral is "partial large subunit ribosomal RNA". Lineage: Eukaryota; Metazoa; Arthropoda; Insecta; Lepidoptera; Pieridae. The record is from RNAcentral.